AGCAGCCGCGGUAAUUCCAGCUCCAAUAGCGUAUAUUAAAGUUGUUGUGGUUAAAAAGCUCGUAGUUGGAUCUCAGUUCGAGUCAGACGGUCCACUUGCCAGUGGUUACUGUUUGACUGAACACUUUACCGAGUUGUCCUAUGGUGCUCUUCACCGAGUGUCAUAGGCGAUCGGUACGUUUACUUUGAAAAAAUUAGAGUGCUCAAAGCAGGCGUAACGCCCGAAUAAUGUUGCAUGGAAUAAUGGAAUAGGACCUCGGUUCUAUUUUGUUGGUCUUCGGAGUCAGAGGUAAUGACUAAGAGGGACAGACGGGUGGAUUCGUAUUGCGGCGCUAGAGGUGAAAUUCUUGGACCGUCGCAAGACGAACUAAAGCGAAAGCAUUUCCAAAGAAUGUUUUCAUUAAUCAAGAACGAAAGUUAGAGGUUCGAAGGCGAUCAGAUACCGUCGUAGUCUUAACCAUAAACUAUGCCGACUAGGGAUCGGAUGAUGUUAUUUUUAAUGACUCA
RNAcentral lists this ribosomal RNA (506 nucleotides) under Acariformes environmental sample. RNAcentral's name for it is "bacterial SSU rRNA". It matches the Rfam family "Eukaryotic small subunit ribosomal RNA", at positions 569 to 1078 of the family's 1831-position model. Lineage: Eukaryota; Metazoa; Arthropoda; Arachnida. The record is from RNAcentral.